CAGUAGCCACGGUAAUACGGAGGGUGCAAGCGUUAAUCGGAAUUACUGGGCGUAAAGCGCACGCAGGCGGUCUGUCAAGUCAGAUGUGAAAUCCCCGGGCUUAACCUGGGAACUGCAUUUGAAACUGGCAGGCUAGAGUCUUGUAGAGGGGGGUAGAAUUCCAGGUGUAGCGGUGAAAUGCGUAGAGAUCUGGAGGAAUACCGGUGGCGAAGGCGGCCCCCUGGACAAAGACUGACGCUCAGGUGCGAAAGCGUGGUGAGCAAACAGGAUUAGAGACCCCGGUAGUCCCUGUCUCUUAUAC
Molecule: ribosomal RNA, 301 nt
Filed under: uncultured bacterium
Lineage: Bacteria
Description: partial 16S ribosomal RNA
Rfam family: Bacterial small subunit ribosomal RNA
Source: RNAcentral